CCUACGGGAGGCAGCAGUGGGGAAUAUUGGGCAAUGGGCGCAAGCCUGACCCAGCAACGCCGCGUGAAGGAAGAAGGCUUUCGGGUUGUAAACUUCUUUUGUCAGGGAAGAGUAGAAGACGGUACCUGACGAAUAAGCCACGACUAACUACGUGCCAGUAGCCGCGGUAAUACGUAGGUGGCAAGCGUUGUACGAAUGUACUGGGUGUAAAGGGCGUGUAGCCGGGUUCAUAAGGCAGAUGCGAAAUCCUGCGGCUUAACCGCAGAACUGCAUUUGAAACCGUUGAUCUUGAGUACUGGAGAGGCAGACGGAAUUCCUGGUGUAGCGGUGAAAUGCGUAGAUAUUAGGAGGAACACCAGUGGCGAAGGCGGUCUGCUGGACAGCAACUGACGGUGAGGCGCGAAAGCGUGGGGAGCAAACAGGAUUAGAUACCCGAGUAGUC
This 442-nucleotide ribosomal RNA is filed under the name uncultured bacterium. Its description in RNAcentral is "partial 16S ribosomal RNA". It matches the Rfam family "Bacterial small subunit ribosomal RNA", at positions 338 to 795 of the family's 1533-position model. The record is from RNAcentral.